AGUGAACGCUGGCGGCAGGCCUAACACAUGCAAGUCGAACGGCAGCACAAGAGAGCUUGCUCUCUGGGUGGCGAGUGGCGGACGGGUGAGGAAUGCAUCGGAAUCUGCCCAUUUGUGGGGGAUAACCUCGGGAAACCGGGACUAAUACCGCAUACGCCCUACGGGUGAAAGCAGGGGAUCUUCGGACCUUCCGCACAUUGAUGAGCCGAUGCCGGAUUAGCUAGUUGGAGGGGUAAAGGCUCACCAAGGCGACGAUCCGUAGCUGGUCUGAGAGGAUGAUCAGCCACACUGGGACUGAGACACGGCCCAGACUCCUACGGGAGGCAGCAGUGGGGAAUAUUGGACAAUGGGCGCAAGCCUGAUCCAGCCAUGCCGCGUGUGUGAAGAAGGCCUUCGGGUUGUAAAGCACUUUUGUUGGGAAAGAAAAGCAGCCGGUUAAUACCCGGUUGUCAUGACGGUACCCAAAGAAUAAGCACCGGCUAACUUCGUG
Molecule: ribosomal RNA, 490 nt
Filed under: uncultured bacterium
Lineage: Bacteria
Description: partial 16S ribosomal RNA
Rfam family: Bacterial small subunit ribosomal RNA
Source: RNAcentral